AAACUGUGAUGUGGACACUUGUUCGGAAACUCCUUGAAAUGCUCCCAUUUCUCAUAAAAAGACUCCAUCUCUUUUUGUUGAUAUGGCUAAAUCAUGCUCCUCAGACG
Molecule: small nucleolar RNA, 107 nt
Filed under: Helianthus annuus (common sunflower)
Lineage: Eukaryota; Viridiplantae; Streptophyta; Magnoliopsida; Asterales; Asteraceae
Description: Plant small nucleolar RNA R71
Rfam family: Plant small nucleolar RNA R71
About the family: R71 is a member of the C/D box family of snoRNAs containing the C (UGAUGA) and D (CUGA) box motifs. Multiple nearly identical copies of this snoRNA have been identified in Arabidopsis, and it is thought to function as a 2'-O-ribose methylation guide for 18S ribosomal RNA.
Source: RNAcentral